GAUGAAGAACGUAGCGAAAUGCGAUAGGUAGUGUGAAUUGCAGAAUUCAGUGAAUCAUCGAAUCUUUGAACGCACAUUGCGCCCCUUGGUAUCCCGAGGGGCAUGCCUGUUCGAGCGUCAUUUCACCACUCAAGCCUGGCUUGGUGUUGGGCGACGUCCCCUUUGGGGACGCGCCUCGAAACGCUCGGCGGCGUGGCACCGGCUUUAAGCGUAGCAGAAUCUUUCGCUUUGGAAGUCGGGGCCCCGUCUGCCGGAAGACCUACUCGCAAGGUUGACCUCGGAUCAGGCAGGGAUACCCGCUGAACUUAAGCAUAUCAAUAAGCGGAGGA
RNAcentral lists this unclassified non-coding RNA (329 nucleotides) under soil metagenome. Its description in RNAcentral is "partial contains 5.8S ribosomal RNA, internal transcribed spacer 2, and large subunit ribosomal RNA". The stretch from base 1 to 120 matches the Rfam family "5.8S ribosomal RNA", at positions 35 to 154 of the family's 154-position model. The record is from RNAcentral.